GGUCAAGCGAAUAAGAGCAUGUGGUGGGUGCCUUGGCAAUGAUAGGCGACGAAGGACGUGAUAGCCUGCGAUAAGCUUCGGGGAGCUGGCAAAUGAGCUUUGAUCCGGAGAUUU
This 114-nucleotide ribosomal RNA is filed under the name uncultured beta proteobacterium. RNAcentral describes it as "partial 23S ribosomal RNA". It matches the Rfam family "Bacterial large subunit ribosomal RNA", at positions 1 to 113 of the family's 2925-position model. Lineage: Bacteria; Pseudomonadati; Pseudomonadota; Betaproteobacteria. The record is from RNAcentral.